Molecule: ribosomal RNA, 427 nt
Filed under: uncultured bacterium
Lineage: Bacteria
Description: partial 16S ribosomal RNA
Rfam family: Bacterial small subunit ribosomal RNA
Source: RNAcentral
UGGGGAAUAUUGCACAAUGGGCGCAAGCCUGAUGCAGCCAUGCCGCGUGUAUGAAGAAGGCCUUCGGGUUGUAAAGUACUUUCAGCGGGGAGGAAGGCGAUAAGGUUAAUAACCUUGUCGGUUGACGUUACCCGCAGAAGAAGCACCGGCUAACUCCGUGCCAGCAGCCGCGGUAAUACGGAGGGUGCAAGAGUUAAUCGGAAUUACUGGGCGUAAAGCGCACGCAGGCGGUCUGUCAAGUCGGAUGUGAAAUCCCCGGGCUCAACCUGGGAACUGCAUUCGAAACUGGCAGGCUAGAGUCUUGUAGAGGGGGGUAGAAUUCCAGGUGUAGCGGUGAAAUGCGUAGAGAUCUGGAGGAAUACCGGUGGCGAAGGCGGCCCCCUGGACAAAGACUGACGCUCAGGUGCGAAAGCGUGGGGAGCAAACA